CGGAGGAUGCGAGCGUUAUCCGGAUUUAUUGGGUUUAAAGGGUGCGUAGGCGGGCUUUUAAGUCAGCGGUAAAAUUCGGGGCUCAACCCCGUCCGGCCGUUGAAACUGGGGGCCUUGAGUGGGCGAGAAGAAGGCGGAAUGCGUGGUGUAGCGGUGAAAUGCAUAGAUAUCACGCAGAACCCCGAUUGCGAAGGCAGCCUUCCGGCGCCCUACUGACGCUGAGGCACGAAAGUGCGGGGAUCGAACAGGAUU
Molecule: ribosomal RNA, 252 nt
Filed under: uncultured bacterium
Lineage: Bacteria
Description: partial 16S ribosomal RNA
Rfam family: Bacterial small subunit ribosomal RNA
Source: RNAcentral